GCGUUCCGGUUCCCCGGCGGCGGCUUCUCGGGCCUUUCCCCGGGGACAGGCCCGGCCCUCGGGGUUUUUCCCCGCCGUUUCCCGCAUGCUGCCGCCGCUUCCUCCGAACCUCCGGUGGUAGGGGGUUGCCUCUCCCCCCGCAGGGCCCUGUGAGGCGGGCCAGGCCCGCCCGCCUCCAUCUUGUGCCGCCGCGGGCGGGGACGGGAGGGGAGGGAGCCUGCGGGGUGGCGGGGGCGCAGGCCUGUCCUGCUCCGGCGUGGAAAGGGGGGGGACGCGGGUCUUUCGUCGGCUUUUCAUCUUUCAUCGGGCUUAGAACUCCAUAAUUUCCAUGCUGAAAUUUUUCCACGCUGGACAUCUGCCUUGAGGCAAUGAGGUUUUCAGGGAUGACUGGAUACAGGUGGCCUGGAGUUCUGUUUUUCUGAUGAGGAAAGGAACCAGAUGGAAACCAGGUAGAGAAGAAACAAUGGAACAAUUACAUGAGUUCUGGACACAGUACAGCAAAAUGCCAGGGCAUAGCUUAACAAAUCAGCCAUUUCCAAAGAAAAAGAUCCCAAAACAUGAAAGGCUCUGAGAAAAUGUUUGAUCCCAGGCAGUAAACUCGGCAACCUUGUCUCUGACCAGCGCUUUGGAAAAGGGACUCAAAGCUUAUCUGGCAGGUUGGUCUGUCCACAUCAAGGACACAUCCUGUCACUCUGGUGAAGAUUCCCUGUGUUCCUUGCUGCACCAAUCAGUGGUUGAAUCAGCAGAGGGGAUGCCACAUCCUAGUCAGAGCACAGGAGCACAUGCAGCCAUUUGAGCACAAACACCUGGCCUUUUCUUCUCACCAGUCUGUGCAACGGGAUCUAUUCCAGAAUGCUCGGAUUUUCAUGGGUGUUCCCUCCACGAUGGGAAGCAGCUGAUCAGUUAUCCCAGCAAGCACUGAAGGCUUGCUUGCCAGUAUGGAAGGAGACUCUCUCUAUACAGCCUUCCGUGGUGAUCUCCUGGGAGGGGAUGGUUCAGUCCUGUGGUACAGCGUCCCUGCAUACAGAAUUCAUGCCAUAGUCCUGAAACAUGGGGAUUUGCCUCUUCAGCCUGGGAAUGGACUGGCGCAUCACUUCUUAAGGUGAUUUUAGCCCAGUGAACAAUUUGCCUUCACCUAAAGAUGGAGUUUGAAGCUUAGAGGGGAUGUAAUUAAUCACCUUAGAGUCUCUUCCAUUGUACUAGAUCAGAGCAAAGGUCCUUCUAUCCCAGCAUCCAUUCUCUCUCAGGUCACACCGCUGAGAUGAUAGUAUUUGGUAGUUGCAGGUCUGCAACUCUGAUCAAAAAGAGAAACUCUACCCUGUAGUUGGGCAGUUAAUAUAGUAGGCAACAGGGCCCUGACAAGUCAUCUUGUUCAGAGGUUUGAAGUCCUUUUUUUAAACCGUGUGUAUCUAAGCAUUGACCAAAACCACAGACAACUUCUUUGAUAAUCAAACACAGCGUAUGGUUGACUGGGCUGCUGGAGCAGUGGCUGUCUCAUGUUUAUACUACAUCAAAGACAAAAAUAUUUCUCUAGAGCAAUAUUAAACAGGUUUCUUUUUUCAAGAUGGUAAAGGGUCAUUGGUUCCCAGAAUAGGCACUACAUGGAAAAUAUCAAAAUACCUUCAGCUCUGUUUCACCACACAGAUUUUCCACAGUUAAAUUUACUUUCCGUCAUGUAUAUCAGAAGUGUGAGAAAUCUGGAAAACCCUGGACUACCCCAGACUGCUACUUUCAACUGACAUUGACAGGGGCUUACCCUACCUAACAGUAACAAUGAAUGUAAAUAUAUUUUUGAGGUUCCUUGAAAAGUUUGUCCAUUUGAGUCUCUCUAACAGACAAGUACUUGUUUUUUUGGACAACCAUUCUUUUAGUGGGCUGAAACCAAAGAUAGAAGAAGCCAACGGCAAUGACUGCAGUGCUGCUGUGAUAUUUACACAUCACGAGUCACUGCCGUAUGUUCUUUAAUUCUGAUAAAGGGGAAAUAGGGAACAGGGAAAAUAAUUUGGAACCCCAUGGCAACUGGGCAGUCUCCCCCUAUUUCACCCAUUACUCCUCUAAACCAGAGCUGCCAAUGUCCACUGCUGUCUGUAGUCCUUGUACUCUCACACGUGGCACCAGGCUGCCAAGUGACAUGGUAGAUUGAGGGAGGAUCUUUUUUUCAUUAUCUUUUUCAGAGAGACUGAGAUUUUCACUGAAUCUUCUUUCCUGGGUACUGGAUCUAACAAUUUUCCAGCAGUCUCAGCUCAGUAGCCUGCCCUUAGCUAUUCCUCUUUGACUGGUAGAUAAAUCUGUUCAUCCUGACACAUACUCUUUAAUAUAAUUCUCUGCCACUGUCAGCAGGCAGAGGACAAGUGGAAAACAGAAAGCACCAAGUUAACAAUCAAUCCUUACGCACAAUGUAAUGUCAGAAGAGAAAAGGCUGUGGUCUCCCCUCUGCACUGUACUCCAAAUUGGUGCAAUCAGUAUGAAGAUGUGUUAACUGUGCUUUAAUGGCAAUUCCCUUCCUUCUCCUCCCUCCCAGCACCUGCCCCUUCAUCCCACCAAGAAGUGAUUCCUUCUUCCAGGGUGAUUCUGUUACAAACUAUUACCAUGCAGGCAGCAUGGCCAAAAUAGCAGUGCUCUUCCUUAAUCUAUUUGGACAGCUGCUGGAGUUAAAAUGGAGUGCUGCUUGCAGAGAUGUUUAGUCUCCACAUGCCAUACCUUUGUGCAGACCCCUUUGAAGUCUUCUCCCAAGAUGACUAAAUUUUAACCUCCCUCGGCCCUUGGUAUUCUGUAACUCUGGCAAGAGUAUAAAAUGUGUUUUGUUUGGUCUUUUCCUGGUUUCUACAGGCUAAAUCAAUCUAAUUCAAACUCUUUUUUUAAAUAAAAGCUGUUGUUAAAUAAAA
Long non-coding RNA from Aquila chrysaetos chrysaetos, 2885 nucleotides. RefSeq lists it as uncharacterized. Lineage: Eukaryota; Metazoa; Chordata; Aves; Accipitriformes; Accipitridae. The transcript is spliced from 7 exons. The record is from RefSeq and is a predicted model, not a curated record.